AUUGAACGCUGGCGGCAGGCCUAACACAUGCAAGUCGAGCGGAUGAAGGGAGCUUGCUCCUGGAUUCAGCGGCGGACGGGUGAGUAAUGCCUAGGAAUCUGCCUGGUAGUGGGGGAUAACGUCCGGAAACGGGCGCUAAUACCGCAUACGUCCUGAGGGAGAAAGUGGGGGAUCUUCGGACCUCACGCUAUCAGAUGAGCCUAGGUCGGAUUAGCUAGUUGGUGGGGUAAAGGCCUACCAAGGCGACGAUCCGUAACUGGUCUGAGAGGAUGAUCAGUCACACUGGAACUGAGGCACGGUCCAGACUCCUACGGGAGGCAGCAGUGGGGAAUAUUGGACAAUGGGCGAAAGCCUGAUCCAGCCAGGCCGCGUGUGUGAAGAAGGUCUUCGGAUUGUAAAGCACUUUAAGUUGGGAGGAAGGGCAGUAAGUUAAUACCUUGCUGUUUUGACGUUACCAACAGAAUAAGCACCGGCUAACUUCGUG
RNAcentral lists this ribosomal RNA (484 nucleotides) under uncultured bacterium. RNAcentral's name for it is "partial 16S ribosomal RNA". It matches the Rfam family "Bacterial small subunit ribosomal RNA", at positions 30 to 507 of the family's 1533-position model. The record is from RNAcentral.